UAAAGGUGCAGCCUGAGUUGCAAUU
This 25-nucleotide unclassified non-coding RNA is filed under the name Mus musculus (house mouse). Its description in RNAcentral is "oocyte_clustered_small_RNA12670". The record is from RNAcentral. Lineage: Eukaryota; Metazoa; Chordata; Mammalia; Rodentia; Muridae.